This 253-nucleotide ribosomal RNA is filed under the name uncultured bacterium. Its description in RNAcentral is "partial 16S ribosomal RNA". It matches the Rfam family "Archaeal small subunit ribosomal RNA", at positions 474 to 727 of the family's 1478-position model. The record is from RNAcentral.
UACCAGCACCCCGAGUGGUCGGGACGUUUAUUGGGCCUAAAGCAUCCGUAGCCGGUCCUACAAGUCUUCCGUUAAAUCCACCUGCUUAACAGAUGGGCUGCGGAAGAUACUAUGGAGCUAGGAGGCGGGAGAGGCAAGCGGUACUCGAUGGGUAGGGGUAAAAUCCGUUGAUCCAUUGAAGACCACCAGUGGCGAAGGCGGCUUGCCAGAACGCGCUCGACGGUGAGGGAUGAAAGCUGGGGGAGCAAACCGG